This 300-nucleotide ribosomal RNA is filed under the name uncultured Pseudomonas sp. Its description in RNAcentral is "bacterial SSU rRNA". It matches the Rfam family "Bacterial small subunit ribosomal RNA", at positions 1086 to 1382 of the family's 1533-position model. Lineage: Bacteria; Pseudomonadati; Pseudomonadota; Gammaproteobacteria; Pseudomonadales; Pseudomonadaceae. The record is from RNAcentral.
CCCGUAACGACGCGCAACCCUUGUCCUUAGUUACCAGCACGUUAUGGUGGGCACUCUAAGGAGACUGACCGGUGGACAAACCGGAGGAAGGUGGGGAUGACGUCAAGUCAUCAUGGCCCUUACGGCCUGGGCUACACACGUGCUACAAUGGUCGGUACAAAGGGUUGCCAAGCCGCGAGGUGGAGCUAAUCCCAUAAAACCGAUCGUAGUCCGGAUCGCAGUCUGCAACUCGACUGCGUGAAGUCGGAAUCGCUAGUAAUCGUGAAUCAGAAUGUCACGGUGAAUACGUUCCCGGGCCUU